UCCCUGAUAGUUCAGUUGGUAAAGAGUCUGCCUGCAAUGCAGAAGACCCUGGUUCGAUUCCCAGGUUGGGAA
RNAcentral lists this transfer RNA (72 nucleotides) under Capra hircus (goat). It matches the Rfam family "tRNA". Rfam says of the family: Transfer RNA (tRNA) molecules are approximately 80 nucleotides in length. RNAcentral also lists the same sequence under 1 other name. Lineage: Eukaryota; Metazoa; Chordata; Mammalia; Artiodactyla; Bovidae. The record is from Rfam by way of RNAcentral.